Pollicipes pollicipes is the source of this 1086-nucleotide long non-coding RNA. RefSeq lists it as uncharacterized. The record is from RefSeq and is a predicted model, not a curated record. Lineage: Eukaryota; Metazoa; Arthropoda; Thecostraca; Pollicipedomorpha; Pollicipedidae. The transcript is spliced from 3 exons.
AGCUCCUCCUCGGUCGAUGGCAUCGUCGGAGCUGCUGCCGAGCGCGCCGCCGCCAAGCCGACGCGCGUGUACACGCGCUCCGAGCUGCUGAUGUUCUCGCGGUCGGCGGUGGCCCGGUACCCACCCAGGGGCUGGGCCGAGGUCCGGCAGCGUCACCCCACCAUCACGCGGGCCACGCCCAAGGUGUUCGACCCGGAUGAGUUCUCGGCGCGGCCGGCGGCCGUGAUCUGCCGCCAGGGCUCGGCCGACUCGGCCAGUCGCUCCCCCACGCCGCCCUAGACGCCUGCUGUGUCGGCGGGUGGCCGUCCCGGUGCCAGCCUCGCCCCAGGCCUACUGAACCGAGCGCCCGCCCACGGACGGAGAGCCGUGUCCACCUUGUCGUUACCACUUCGCCAAAGAAAGCUGCUGCUCCUACUCAGAUGAAUCAAUAACGUAUCGCGUGUGUGGUCGUAGAGUUAGCGCCAGUCGUGUUGUCUCGGGGAACAGAUCUGAGUAAAGCUGGCUGUCCGAACCCUUCAGGUACGCCAUGUUCUAGUGCUUUCACAAGUGGAGCUAGACGUUCGCAGUGCUCCCACGCCUUUGUCGAACAAGACCAGAACAUGCAUGGAAUGCUGUUUUUGUGGCGUGCAACUUAUUACCAGGUGUGGGAAUCAUCGGUGUGAGCAAGCAACCAAUUUGCAAGCUAACGCAUUAAAUUGGCGUGUUUUUUUUCUGUGGUUGUGAAAAGUGCAGCUAUGGAUGCAAUACUGAGCGGAGUUAAGCACCGGGUCUGUCAGCCUACCUUGCUAGCUCAGAAUUGUACAUUGAUGUCUCAAAGGAUACGUGCAAAGUUGUCUCCUGUGUGCUUGAUGCUAUCUUGCUUCUUUGGUUCCUGCAAUUGGAUGCGCGUUGGACGUACGCUUCUUCGGCCUGCUUUGGUCAUUGGAUGACUUAUGUGAUCUGCUUUGAUCACUGGCCAGUUGCCCCUGGACGUUAUCCGCGUCUGAGGGGCCCGAUCAGCUGCAGGAAACCCGGCUUCCCUUUGCAAUCAUUGUGUUGGCGCUGAACGCCCUGUUGCAAUACACUGUACCGAAAUCCCGCUCUCAA